GACCGCCGAUGCUUCAUCGGCCAAGGCCAUACGGACAGCCGGGUCGAAUGCCGA
This 54-nucleotide small RNA is filed under the name human gut metagenome. RNAcentral describes it as "Streptococcus sRNA SpF59 (ldcC RNA)". It matches the Rfam family "Streptococcus sRNA SpF59 (ldcC RNA)". The record is from RNAcentral.